RNAcentral lists this ribosomal RNA (381 nucleotides) under uncultured eukaryote. Its description in RNAcentral is "SSU rRNA". It matches the Rfam family "Eukaryotic small subunit ribosomal RNA", at positions 587 to 972 of the family's 1831-position model. The record is from RNAcentral.
AGCUCCAAUAGCGUAUAUUAAAGUUGUUGCGGUUAAAAAGCUCGUAGUUGGAUUUCUGUCGAAGAUUGCCGGUCCGCUCUAUGAGCGUGUAUCAGGUUUGUCUUUGGCAUCCUCUUGAAGAACGUUUCUGUGCUUGAUUGCAUGGCGCGGUACUCAAGACUUUUACUUUGAGGAAAUUAGAGUGUUCACGGCAGGCAAGCGCCUUGAAUAUAUUAGCAUGGAAUAAUAAUAUAGGAUCUUGAUUCUAUUUUGUUGGUUUCUAGAAUUAGGAUAAUGAUUAAUAGGGAUAAUUGGGGGCAUUUGUAUUAACGCGUCAGAGGUGGAAUUCUUGGAUUGCGUUACGACAAACUACUGCGAAAGCAUUUGCCAAGGAUGUUUUCA